RNAcentral lists this ribosomal RNA (433 nucleotides) under uncultured bacterium. RNAcentral describes it as "partial 16S ribosomal RNA". It matches the Rfam family "Bacterial small subunit ribosomal RNA", at positions 29 to 507 of the family's 1533-position model. The record is from RNAcentral.
AACGAACGCUGGCGGCAGGCUUAACACAUGCAAGUCGAACGGAUCCUUCGGGAUUAGUGGCAGACGGGUGCGUAACGCGUGGGAACGUACCCUUUGCUACGGAAUAACUCAGGGAAACUUGAGCUAAUACCGUAUGUGCCCUACGGGGGAAAGAUUUAUCGGCAAUGGAUGGGCCCGCGUUGGAUUAGCUAGUUGGUGGGGUAAUGGCCUACCAAGGCGACGAUCCAUAGCUGGUCUGAGAGGAUGAUCAGCCACACUGGGACUGAGACACGGCCCAGACUCCUACGGGAGGCAGCAGUGGGGAAUAUUGGACAAUGGGCGCAAGCCUGAUCCAGCCAUGCCGCGUGAGUGAUGAAGGUCUUAGGAUUGUAAAGCUCUUUCACCGGUGAAGAUAAUGACGGUAGCGGGAGAAGAAGCCCCGGCUAACUCCGUG